UUUGUUGUUUGAGAAGGCCUCCAACUUUCAUCGUUUGUGGGAUUGAGUAGCCAACUAGUGUAUGUACCGUAACUUUGGUCGGUUGUGGCUCUUCUUCUGCAUCUUCUUCUUCAUGUUUAAGGCUCUCUUUUGAAUGUUAAAUUACCUCUUCUUCUAUCGGUUCAAUCAUAAGAAGUCCCCCUUUACUACAGCGAUGCUCGCGGCUCCACGGC
RNAcentral lists this long non-coding RNA (212 nucleotides) under Musa acuminata (dwarf banana). RNAcentral describes it as "long non-coding RNA (MACU_LNC011392)". The record is from RNAcentral. Lineage: Eukaryota; Viridiplantae; Streptophyta; Magnoliopsida; Zingiberales; Musaceae.